CCUACGGGUGGCAGCAGUGAGGAAUAUUGGUCAAUGGGCGAGAGCCUGAACCAGCCAAGUCGCGUGAAGGAUGACUGACCUAUGGUUUGUAAACUUCUUUUAUAUGGGAAUAAAGUGAGGAACGUGUUCCUUUUUGUAUGUACUUUAUGAAUAAGCAUCGGCUAACUCCGUGCCAGCAGCCGCGGUAAUACGGAGGAUGCGAGCGUUAUCCGGAUUUAGUGGGUUUAAAGGGUGCGUAGGUGGUUUAUUAAGUCAGCGGUGAAAGUUUGUGGCUCAACCAUAAAAUUGCAAGUGAAACUGGCUGACUUGAGUACAGUUGAGGUAGGCGGAAUUCGUGGUGUAGCGGUGAAAUGCAUAGAUAUCACGAAGAACUCCGAUUGCGAAGGCAGCCUACUAAACUACAACUGACACUGAAGCACGAAAGUGUGGGUAUCAAACAGGAUUAGAUACCCUUGUAGUC
Molecule: ribosomal RNA, 460 nt
Filed under: uncultured bacterium
Lineage: Bacteria
Description: partial 16S ribosomal RNA
Rfam family: Bacterial small subunit ribosomal RNA
Source: RNAcentral